GGUUAAGCGACUAAGCGUACACGGUGGAUGCCCUGGCAGUCAGAGGCGAUGAAGGACGUGCUAAUCUGCGAUAAGCGUCGGUAAGGUGAUAUGAACCGUUAUAACCGGCGAUUUCCGAAUGGGGAAACCCAGUGUGUUUCGACACACUAUCAUUAACUGAAUCCAUAGGUUAAUGAGGCGAACCGGGGGAACUGAAACAUCUAAGUACCCCGAGGAAAAGAAAUCAACCGAGAUUCCCCCAGUAGCGGCGAGCGAACGGGGAGCAGCCCAGAGCCUGAAUCAGUGUGUGUGUUAGUGGAAGCGUCUGGAAAGGCGCGCGAUACAGGGUGACAGCCCCGUACACAAAAAUGCACAUGCUGUGAGCUCGAUGAGUAGGGCGGGACACGUGGUAUCCUGUCUGAAUAUGGGGGGACCAUCCUCCAAGGCUAAAUACUCCUGACUGACCGAUAGUGAACCAGUACCGUGAGGGAAAGGCGAAAAGAACCCCGGCGAGGGGAGUGAAAAAGAACCUGAAACCGUGUACGUACAAGCAGUGGGAGCACGCUUAGGCGUGUGACUGCGUACCUUUUGUAUAAUGGGUCAGCGACUUAUAUUCUGUAGCAAGGUUAACCGAAUAGGGGAGCCGAAGGGAAACCGAGUCUUAACUGGGCGUUAAGUUGCAGGGUAUAGACCCGAAACCCGGUGAUCUAGCCAUGGGCAGGUUGAAGGUUGGGUAACACUAACUGGAGGACCGAACCGACUAAUGUUGAAAAAUUAGCGGAUGACUUGUGGCUGGGGGUGAAAGGCCAAUCAAACCGGGAGAUAGCUGGUUCUCCCCGAAAGCUAUUUAGGUAGCGCCUCGUGAAUUCAUCUCCGGGGGUAGAGCACUGUUUCGGCAAGGGGGUCAUCCCGACUUACCAACCCGAUGCAAACUGCGAAUACCGGAGAAUGUUAUCACGGGAGACACACGGCGGGUGCUAACGUCCGUCGUGAAGAGGGAAACAACCCAGACCGCCAGCUAAGGUCCCAAAGUCAUGGUUAAGUGGGAAACGAUGUGGGAAGGCCCAGACAGCCAGGAUGUUGGCUUAGAAGCAGCCAUCAUUUAAAGAAAGCGUAAUAGCUCACUGGUCGAGUCGGCCUGCGCGGAAGAUGUAACGGGGCUAAACCAUGCACCGAAGCUGCGGCAGCGACACUAUGUGUUGUUGGGUAGGGGAGCGUUCUGUAAGCCUGUGAAGGUGUACUGUGAGGUAUGCUGGAGGUAUCAGAAGUGCGAAUGCUGACAUAAGUAACGAUAAAGCGGGUGAAAAGCCCGCUCGCCGGAAGACCAAGGGUUCCUGUCCAACGUUAAUCGGGGCAGGGUGAGUCGACCCCUAAGGCGAGGCCGAAAGGCGUAGUCGAUGGGAAACAGGUUAAUAUUCCUGUACUUGGUGUUACUGCGAAGGGGGGACGGAGAAGGCUAUGUUGGCCGGGCGACGGUUGUCCCGGUUUAAGCGUGUAGGCUGGUUUUCCAGGCAAAUCCGGAAAAUCAAGGCUGAGGCGUGAUGACGAGGCACUACGGUGCUGAAGCAACAAAUGCCCUGCUUCCAGGAAAAGCCUCUAAGCAUCAGGUAACAUCAAAUCGUACCCCAAACCGACACAGGUGGUCAGGUAGAGAAUACCAAGGCGCUUGAGAGAACUCGGGUGAAGGAACUAGGCAAAAUGGUGCCGUAACUUCGGGAGAAGGCACGCUGAUAUGUAGGUGAAGCGACUUGCUCGUGGAGCUGAAAUCAGUCGAAGAUACCAGCUGGCUGCAACUGUUUAUUAAAAACACAGCACUGUGCAAACACGAAAGUGGACGUAUACGGUGUGACGCCUGCCCGGUGCCGGAAGGUUAAUUGAUGGGGUUAGCGCAAGCGAAGCUCUUGAUCGAAGCCCCGGUAAACGGCGGCCGUAACUAUAACGGUCCUAAGGUAGCGAAAUUCCUUGUCGGGUAAGUUCCGACCUGCACGAAUGGCGUAAUGAUGGCCAGGCUGUCUCCACCCGAGACUCAGUGAAAUUGAACUCGCUGUGAAGAUGCAGUGUACCCGCGGCAAGACGGAAAGACCCCGUGAACCUUUACUAUAGCUUGACACUGAACAUUGAGCCUUGAUGUGUAGGAUAGGUGGGAGGCUUUGAAGUGUGGACGCCAGUCUGCAUGGAGCCGACCUUGAAAUACCACCCUUUAAUGUUUGAUGUUCUAACGUUGACCCGUAAUCCGGGUUGCGGACAGUGUCUGGUGGGUAGUUUGACUGGGGCGGUCUCCUCCUAAAGAGUAACGGAGGAGCACGAAGGUUGGCUAAUCCUGGUCGGACAUCAGGAGGUUAGUGCAAUGGCAUAAGCCAGCUUGACUGCGAGCGUGACGGCGCGAGCAGGUGCGAAAGCAGGUCAUAGUGAUCCGGUGGUUCUGAAUGGAAGGGCCAUCGCUCAACGGAUAAAAGGUACUCCGGGGAUAACAGGCUGAUACCGCCCAAGAGUUCAUAUCGACGGCGGUGUUUGGCACCUCGAUGUCGGCUCAUCACAUCCUGGGGCUGAAGUAGGUCCCAAGGGUAUGGCUGUUCGCCAUUUAAAGUGGUACGCGAGCUGGGUUUAGAACGUCGUGAGACAGUUCGGUCCCUAUCUGCCGUGGGCGCUGGAGAACUGAGGGGGCUGCUCCUAGUACGAGAGGACCGGAGUGGACGCAUCACUGGUGUUCGGGUUGUCAUGCCAAUGGCACUGCCCGGUAGCUAAAUGCGGAAGAGAUAAGUGCUGAAAGCAUCUAAGCACGAAACUUGCCCCGAGAUGAGUUCUCCCUGACCCUUUAAGGGUCCUGAAGGAACGUUGAAGACGACGACGUUGAUAGGCCGGGUGUGUAAGCGCAGCGAUGCGUUGAGCUAACCGGUACUAAUGAACCGUGAGGCUUAACCUU
This 2902-nucleotide ribosomal RNA is filed under the name Escherichia coli. RNAcentral describes it as "23S ribosomal RNA". It matches the Rfam family "Bacterial large subunit ribosomal RNA". The record is from RNAcentral. Lineage: Bacteria; Pseudomonadati; Pseudomonadota; Gammaproteobacteria; Enterobacterales; Enterobacteriaceae.